This is a long non-coding RNA of Gorilla gorilla gorilla (western lowland gorilla), 4422 nucleotides long. RefSeq lists it as uncharacterized. The transcript has 3 exons. The record is from RefSeq and is a predicted model, not a curated record. NCBI's taxonomy places the organism in Eukaryota, Metazoa, Chordata, Mammalia, Primates, Hominidae.
CUUCCCUGCGAGUGGCCAGGACCAAUGUGAUGUGGCCGGGGCAGUGGGGCUGGAAGAGGAGUGGCAGCUGUGUUUGUCACAGGCCUGGCUGAGGAAUUCUCUGUGGCUCUGAGCCCUCGCUCCUGCUCCUCAGGGGCUCCUGGCCCCUCUCCUGCUCAAAGCUUGCUCCCCCAGAGGGUCCAGGCAGCGGGACCUGGGUGUGGGCCGGCCUUCCCUGCCCUGCCAAUGAUGGCUGGGUGGUGGCAGAGCCCCGUAAGGCCCAAGGAGUUCUGCUCAGUGCAAGACUCAUCAUCUGGCCACACUGCAGGUCUGCAGGGGACAAGGCUCCAGGAACAGGAAGACCCAGCUCCCAUGGCCUGGCCCCCGAAGGCUCGACCCCGGGGACAGACUCUGGGAAACUCUCUCAGCUGGAGGCUUUCUGUGCAGCUGGAGUUUAAACAGCCCAAGGCUCCGGGCUGUCAUCUCCGCCCAGGAUUAACUGCUGCUGGAGACGUCCUCUCGUGGGCCCUGUGCUGAGGCUGUACAGCUUCCUACCUCACGCCAUCUCUGUGGUCACAGGACGCUGAGUGGAGAAAAUAAAACCCACGCAGGGACGGCAACCAUCGUGGCGAAAGGCAUCAUCACAUUUUAUGAAUGACAGAUGGCUUUUAUCGCACCUUUGCAUGGUCGCUUAUGGUAAUAGGACUGCGGUGCCCUGAGACGUGGGGAUCUGCGUGAGUGCCCCAGGCAAAGUCUGCUCUUCCAGCCUCGAAUCUGGAUCCCAGGAGCCCGUCCAUAUCCCUCAUCCAGCAAACUCCAUGGCCAUGCAGGGCUCCUCAGGACACUGCAGUUGUGCCCUGUUUAAAACAAUAACUGUUUCUCAAGUUUCUUGGAGUGAAGCCACCAUGACCUUUGCAACAGACGAAGCCUACACUUUUUCCAAGUGUGACUCAAAGGACAAAAGGUUCAUGCACAAGGCAGUUCUAAAAGUGGAUGGGUAAUUGCUGGUUCUGCUUCCUGUAAGGAUUUUGUAAGAUCACACCAAACCCACUCCCUUACAGAAAACAGCUUCAAAAUCUGUACACAAUGCAAACAGGCUGCUUGUGGGCGUUGGAGAGUGAACAGCAAGACGGACCCGGGGUGUACACGGGGGAUAAAGGAGUUGCAGGAAGCACGUUCUCUUUGACCGUGGCUGUUAGCCUGGGCACUAUGUAGUUAGGGCAUGAGGAGCUGGGGGUCCUCAGGGAAGGCCACAGUCUUCAUGGCCUGGAACAGGAGCAGAAUGAAAUUGGGGAAGCUGUGGCCAGUGGAGGGGGGGGGAGCGUCCAGAAGGGGAAACUUGGCAGACUCUACUCAUGUUUCCGACAGGCCCUGAACUGCACACACCCAAAGCAGAUAAAAGAAGCCCAGCUAAAGGCAGAAAGUCUGAGUUCAGGCUGCAGCUGUAGCCAGGACACUUGCAGUUCAAGCCCAAACACAAUCACUACCUACUACACCGAAAGAAACAGCAGCUGGUGGAAAGCCACAGAGUCCAGAAAGUCCACAAUACAUGCAUAGUGCCCAGGACCCAAUUCCGGAUUACUCAGCACACAAAGACACCGAGUGGAACACAUUCUUAGGAGAAAAGAACGUCAACUGAGGUCGAUCCCAAGUGACCAGGUGUCGUGGUGGAAGAUGGGGAUGGGACGUCAACUGAGAUCGAUCCCAAGUGACCAGGUGUCGUGGUAGAAGAUAAGCACAGAAUGUCAACUGAGGUCGAUCCCAAGUGACCAGGUGUCGUGAUAGAGGAUGAGGAUUUUACUCCGGUGGCUUGAAGCUGGAUUCGGUGGAUAAACAGUGUUAUAUCCUCUUGACUAAUUGGCCCUGUUGGAAUUACAAAAUGACCUUCUUUAUAAUGCUGGUUGUGUUCAUUGCUCUGAAAUCCACCUUGUUCAAUAUUACUAUAGCUGUUCCCGCUUUUUUUUUUUGACUAGUGUUAGUACAGUGUAUCUUUUAAAAUCCCAUUAGUUUUCAUGUAUUUGUGAAUUCGUAUUUAAAGUGGGUUUUGGGUAGGCAGCAAUUAGUUGGGUCUUGCUUUAUUAUUCAGUCUGACAAACUGCCGCUGAAUUGGACCAAUGGUUAUAGAUCAUUUUCAUCUACCAUCACUGUUGAUAAUGGUUGGACUUAAACCACCAUCUUGCUAUUUGUGUUUUAUUUAUCCUGUCUACUUUUUGUUUCCUGUUCCUCUUAGCCAACCUUCUUCUGGACUGGGUAUUUUUUAAUCAUCCCAUUUAAUCACUUCUGUUGGCUUAUUCCCCAUAACUCUGUUUGUACGUAUGUAUGUGUGCGUGUGCGUGUAUACAUUUUAGGGUUUAUAGUGUGCACCUUCAACUUAUCAUAAUCUAUCUUCAAAUAAUAUUACACUACAUCAUGAUGGUUUAAUAACCUUACAGCAGCACACUUCCAUUCCCUGACCUCCUUCAUGUCCUUGUGGGCACAUAUUUUAUUUCUCUACAUGUUCUAUACCCAGCAAAACAUGCUUUUCCUUCCUGUGCUUCUAUUGGGUCUCCUAUAAUGUCAUUUUCCUCUUGUCCAAAGGACUUUCUUUAAUAUCUCUUAGUGCUUAUCUGCUGGUAUGAUUAAUAUUUUAGCUUUUAUAUGUCUGAAAAACUUGAUAUCUCACCCUGUUUCUACCUUUGUUGCCAGGUACAGAAUCACAAAUCAACAGGCUUUUCCCGGCAGUACUUUGCAGAGCUUGUUCCACUGUCCUCCAGCUCGCCUCAUUUUCAAGGAGAAACCUGUCGUCAUCCUUGUCUUUGUUCCUCUGUACCCAGCACGUCUCUUUUCUUCUGCCUGCUGUUAAGAUUGUCUUGUUCUUACCCAGUUUAAGCAGUUUGGUUAAGAUGUGCCUUCUUCGUACUUCAUACUUUUUGGACUGGGAUAUGUAGCUUUUAAAAAGCAAAUUUCAAAAGAUUUCAGUCAUUAUGUCUUCCUUUUUUCUGUUUUUUUUCUUUGUUUUCUUUGUGGGACUCUAAAAGUAUGAAUUUUAGGCCAAUUGAAGUUGCCCCCCAAUUACUUUGUGCUCCUUUUGAAGGGGUCUAUUUUCUGUCUGUGUUUCACUUUGGAUGGUUUCUAUUAUAUACCUUUAAGUUCAUUAAUCUUUCCUUUUGUAGUGUCUGUCUAAUCUCAUCAUCUCAUCCAGUGAAUUUUCUUUAUCUCAGAAAUUGUUUCAUCUCUAAAAGUUAGAAUUGGGACUUUUUAAUGUCUUUCAUAUGUCUACUUAACGUUAUCAUGUGGAAUAGAGUGAUAAUAACUACAGUUCAUCUGUGUCUAGGAAUGCCCUCAUCUGUGCCAUUUGUGAAUUAGUUUCAAUUUGUUGAUAUUCCUCAUUACAUGAUGUGUUUUCCUGCCUCUUUGCAUACUUGGUGAUUUUUUACUGUAUGCUAGACAUCAUGUACUUUUCCUUGUUAGAUCCUGGAUAGUUUUGCACUCCUAAAAUUAUUUUUGAAACUUUUCUGGGAUGAAGUUACUUUACUUGGAAACAAUUUGAUAUAUUUGAGGCUUGAUUUUAAGCUUUUUUGGGUGGGGCCUAAAUUAGUCUAGGACUGAUUAUGCUCUACUACUGAGGUGAUACCGUGCUGAAAAAGCUUAAUAAGGAGAAAAAUCAAUCAAUAAAUAUUCACGUAUAUUCACAAAAUAUAAUGAGGAGAAAAAUCAAUCACUAAAUAUUCACAUAACCCUAAAAAAAAGUUAAGAAAUGAGAAACAAAGGGGAAACUGGAGGAUAUGUAUAGAGAGCGAGGCAUAAAAUUACAGAGCCAAACACAACCAUGUCAAUACUUACUUAAAUACGAGUGGACCAAAGAGUUCAGGUAAAACGCAGAGGUUGUCAGAAUGGAUAUGAAAACAAGACCCACACACAUGCUGUCUUCCAAAAUUGCACUUGAAGAACAGAGACACGGGUAGCUUUAAAUGACAUUAAAGUUAAAGCAUAAACAUUGGAAAGGGAGAAGAAGAACUGCCUCUUUAUGCAGAUAUCAUGAAUCAUGUAUGAGGAAGUAUCUUAAGAAAGUUACAGACAACUAGCAUAGGCACUGAGAAGGUGUGGUCUACUCAUAUGAUGGAAUACUACUCAACCACAAACAGGAAUGAAGCCCUAACAUCGGACACAAAGGGCCGCAUGUUACAUGAUUCCAGUUAUACGAAAUGGGCAGAUCUAAAGAGGCAGAGUGCAGAUUAGUGGUGCCAGGAGCUGGGGGAAGGGAGGAACAGAGAGUGACACCUUGAUUGCUGUGGUGUCUCCUUUCGUGGUGAUGCGAAUGUCUUGGAGCCGGCAACAUGGUGAACGCACUAGAUGCCACUGAAUUGUGCACUUCAAAAUUGUGAAAAUAGUGAAUUUUAUAAUAUGUGAAUUUUACCACCAUAAAAACCAAACUAUUAGUUCAAAUAAAAUUAGUUUAGCCAA